This 728-nucleotide ribosomal RNA is filed under the name uncultured endophytic bacterium. RNAcentral's name for it is "bacterial SSU rRNA". It matches the Rfam family "Bacterial small subunit ribosomal RNA", at positions 771 to 1504 of the family's 1533-position model. The record is from RNAcentral.
AACAGGAUUAGAUACCCUGGUAGUCCACGCCCUAAACGAUGUCUACUGGUUGUCGGGUCUUAAUUGACUUGGUAACGCAGCUAACGCGUGAAGUAGACCGCCUGGGGAGUACGGUCGCAAGAUUAAAACUCAAAGGAAUUGACGGGGACCCGCACAAGCGGUGGAUGAUGUGGAUUAAUUCGAUGCAACGCGAAAAACCUUACCUACCCUUGACAUGUACAGAAUCCCGAAGAGAUUUGGGAGUGUUCGAAAGAAAACUGUAACACAGGAGCUGCAUGGCUGUCGUCAGCUCGUGUCGUGAGAUGUUGGGUUAAGUCCCGCAACGAGCGCAACCCUUGUCAUUAGUUGCUACGAAAGGGCACUCUAAUGAGACUGCCGGUGACAAACCGGAGGAAGGUGGGGAUGACGUCAAGUCCUCAUGGCCCUUAUGGGUAGGGCUUCACACGUCAUACAAUGGUACAUACAGAGGGCCGCCAACCCGCGAGGGGGAGCUAAUCCCAGAAAGUGUAUCGUAGUCCGGAUUGUAGUCUGCAACUCGACUACAUGAAGUUGGAAUCGCUAGUAAUCGCGGAUCAGCAUGUCGCGGUGAAUACGUUCCCGGGUCUUGUACACACCGCCCGUCACACCAUGGGAGCGGGUUUUACCAGAAGUAGGUAGCCUAACCGUAAGGAGGGCGCUUACCACGGUAGGAUUCGUGACUGGGGUGAAGUCGUAACAAGGUAACCGUA